Molecule: ribosomal RNA, 435 nt
Filed under: uncultured soil bacterium
Lineage: Bacteria
Description: bacterial SSU rRNA
Rfam family: Bacterial small subunit ribosomal RNA
Source: RNAcentral
AGGACGAACGCUGGCGGCGUGCCUAACACAUGCAAGUCGAACGAGUCCACUCUUUCGGGAGUGAGGCGAGUGGCGGACGGGUGAGUAACACGUGAGCAACCUGUCCUUGUGCGGGGGACAACCCGGGGAAACCCGGGCUAAUACCGCAUGGGCAGGCACCUCGAGUGGGGAGCCUGGGAAAGAUGGCCUCUUUACAAUGCUGUCGUGCAGGGAGGGCUCGCGGGCUAUCAGCUAGUUGGGGGGGUAAUGGCCCACCAAGGCAGCGACGGCUACGGGGUCUGAGAGGACCGACCCCGCACAUUGGAACUGAGACACGGUCCAGACUCCGUACGGGAGGCAGCAGGUGGGGAAUAGUUGGGACAAGUGGGCGCGAAGCCUAGACCCAGCGACGCCGCGUGGCGGGAUCGGACGCUUCGUCGGAGUCGUAAACCGCGU